Molecule: ribosomal RNA, 394 nt
Filed under: uncultured bacterium
Lineage: Bacteria
Description: partial 16S ribosomal RNA
Rfam family: Bacterial small subunit ribosomal RNA
Source: RNAcentral
CCUACGGGUGGCAGCAGUGAGGAAUAUUGGUCAAUGGGCGUAAGCCUGAACCAGCCAAGUCGCGUGAGGGAUGAAGGUUCUAUGGAUCGUAAACUUCUUUUAUAAGGGAAUAAAGUGCGGGACGUGUCCCGUUUUGUAUGUACCUUAUGAAUAAGGAUCGGCUAACUCCGUGCCAGCAGCCGCGGUAAUACGGAGGAUCCGAGCGUUAUCCGGAUUUAUUGGGUUUAAAGGGUGCGUAGGCGGCCUUGUAAGUCAGCGGUGAAAGGCUGUGGCUCAACCAUAGAAUUGCCGUUGAAACUGGGCGGCUUGAGUAUGGUUGAGGCAGGCGGAAGUCGUGGUGUAGCGGUGAAAUGCUUAGAUAUCAGGAAGAACCCCGAUGGCGAAGGCAGCCUAC